GGUUCCCAAGCUCGGCCAAAUUAUUGCGAACACUUCAAUAGAACCGUUUAUGUUAGUUCUGUUCCAAUUGCUGCUUGAUAUCAUGCAACCUUUAAAAUUCUCUUCGCGUGAAUAGCGCAUAAAUUGGUGUGCUCAAAGAGCCCAACAGGCAAAUCGAUCAAAUCGCAACGAAAUCAACAGGAAAGACCCGGCGAUUCACGAAAUUAACGGUCGAACGCCGGCAGCUCAGGUUCUGCUUUUUAUUGCAAACAGGUACCACAAGUAUCUCUGUGCCAACUAGGAACUGCUCAUGUGUUAAGCUAUGUACAUGUUCAUCUUCUGGAUAGUGAAGGAAGAGAUGUCGACAAAUUGGUAGCCCUUUCUGACAGGCUUCCUGUGUAAUUCAACAAGAUCUUUGCAAGACGUGCGAAAUGUGACAGUGUUCUAUUAUUGGAGUAGAACUGGUGGUUGCAAGAUGGCUUGUUUCCCUGAAUUAAUAUGU
This is a long non-coding RNA of Nicotiana attenuata, 481 nucleotides long. RefSeq lists it as uncharacterized. The transcript has 3 exons. The record is from RefSeq and is a predicted model, not a curated record. NCBI's taxonomy places the organism in Eukaryota, Viridiplantae, Streptophyta, Magnoliopsida, Solanales, Solanaceae.